Non-coding RNA from Arachis ipaensis, 1795 nucleotides. NCBI's taxonomy places the organism in Eukaryota, Viridiplantae, Streptophyta, Magnoliopsida, Fabales, Fabaceae. The record is from RefSeq and is a predicted model, not a curated record.
GAAGCGCUUGCAAUGUGAGUUUUCCAAUAAUAUUUCAACCUUAUAACCUUAUUAUUUUCAAAGGCGUUGUUAACCUUUCAUUUUUCUUCUUGUUUAGAGUCCCGAUUCAGGUUUUUGUGCCGGCAUCCCAAACAACCACUAAGACAGAUUUUGAACCAACACAUAUGCUACAGAUUGAAGGGACUACAGAAACCACUUCUGAAACCCCCAAACAACUUCAAGAGACCACACCCACGCUUCCCCCAACUCCAACUAAAAUUCAUCCAGACGCAGAAGACGCUGCUGCCCUGUUGAUGAUGGCACGGACAGCAUCCUAUGUUCCUAAAAUAGAUCCAGGGGUGCCAUCAUUCAGCCUUGGAUUGACUGAUUCAAGCCAGGAGGGGGCGUCAACGCAGGAGACAGAAAGGGCAAAAUCUCCUGAAUCUGCAAAUUUGAUAGAACAAUUAGACGAUUUGGUCCAAAAAAUAGCAAGCAGUGCGGCGAAGGGGAAGAACAAAAGUUCACAAAUUCAAAGGGAGACUGGGGGAGAAAGUUCUACAAAGUUUCAAACUCCUGGGGGAUUAUAUCAGAUUACGGAUGAUAUGAAACAAAAGUGCUACAUCUGGGGGACGAGACUGAAGGAAGAUGCAGAUGGCAAUACUAACGAGUAUGAGGAAAUGGGCACUCUGAUUGGCCAAGGAGAAUACAUUUUGAUGAGAAUGCACCUUGUAUCCCUCCAGGCAAAAAGUGAUAUAGAAUCUCAGAUAAUAUUAGAAUAACAUUAAUGUUUUUACACCAAAGUCAAUUGCAAUGCUUAUUAAUGUAAAAUUGAUUUCGGCAUAUAUUUCUAGAUUGUAUCUGCCAUCUGCCUCAUCCUCAACCAGAAAAAUGAAAAGAGGUUUCAAGAACAAAUAUACUGUCUCCCCCCCGAUAUUGUGGUAAGUGUUACUUCUACGAACUUUGAGUGUAUUUUCUGUAUUGAUUUGGGUGUAUUUGUCACGUUCCAUUGGGUGUAAGUUUAGUAUUUCAUUUCUCGUUUCCCAUUCUUGCAGUGCAUGGCACUUUCGGAUCACCCAAAGGGGGAAUUCGUAUCACCGAAAACGAAAAAGAAAUUCAGGGUGGAAGCCUACCCGAGUUUCAUUCCCUUCAUAGAUAGAAAAAAAUUAACUUCGCAUCCAUAUAUUUUUGCUCCUGUUUGCCACUCGGGACAUUGGUGGUUAUGGCUAAUAAAUACAACAAAGCGGAAAUGUCAUAUACUUGACCCGCUACACAAAAAAGCUCCAAGCGAUGAGAGAAAGGACAUUAAUAAAUUCACUGGAUAUGUAUUUUCAAGAUUGAUAACAUAUGCCGGCGGGGAACCUCUGUAGAAAGGGGAGAACGAGAAGAAAAUUAAAUCAUCAUAUGUUAAAAUAUCAGGCCAAAAAACAAGCUAUGACUGCGCUAUCUAUGUUAUGAAGUGGAUGGAGUUAAUUGAGCCGGAAAACAUCAAAAAGGGGAAGUAUGAAUGGGAUAAUUGGCCACAGGAGGAGGUGGACCACUAUAGAGUGGAGUAUGCUUCCCGGAUACUAUUCAGUGAGAUGAAUAAAGAAAGAUAUCGGGCAAUUAGGGAGAGUAGUGCUAUAAGGCUGUCGAAGCCAUCCUCUGUAUUAUUGAGUCCGUUUUGUCAGAUUAAUUCUGCUGAUAUAGAAACUGCGUAAUCCAACUACUGGGUAGUUUGUAAAUUGAACAAAUGAUGUAAAUAUUUGCCAUUUAUCAACAACUUCUAUUCCAUGUAUAUUUUUUCCCAUAGUUAAACUAUCUGUGCUGGUAAACUGUC